UCCUGGACAGUGGGUAGUUCGUUGUCACGCGGGACCAAAUUUUGAAUUUGAAAACAGUGGAUAAAUUUAUUGUUUACUACGAUGAUGAUGAUUAUGAUUGUUAUUUAAUGAAAUAAUUAAACUAUGAUUAAGGAUAGAUGUAAUUGAUAAAAUAACUUUUAUCUGAAGACUGAAUUUUAUUAUAAAGUAUGAAUAAAACUUGAUCAGUAAUAACAGUUGUAUUCGUAAAGAGUUCUCGGAGAGAAGUCAAGUUACAUCAGACGGCAGAGAGAUCUCGGACCUUCACUCUCCAACUUCUCCCCACUACUCUCAUGUUCACACUCAUGCUUAUAUGUAUAUAUUCUUAUAUAUCUAUGUUCUUUACUAAAUAUUAUACUUAUACAUUUAUACUUUCUACUAAUUCAAAUUUGGGAUAUAAGCUUACACAUAUACGUUCUUCACUUUAUCCAUUCUACAACUUCUUAUUACUUAUUCUAUUUAUAUGUACUUAGAUACAAUCUUCCAGUUAAAUAUUCUAGGCUAUCAGAGGUGUAUUUCUCCAUAAUUAUUCUAUAUUUAAUUAUUUAGUACGAUUGACAUUACUAUUUAUUGUGAAACAUUAUUAUAAUCAAUAUAAUGCUAUAUUUCUAUAUUUUCUUUAAUUUAUUUAUUAUACGCGUCACUCUUUAUUUAAUAUUAACAGUAAUAGUUAAAUUCUGGUGAGACAUGGUUUUCAUUAGUAAGUAACAUUUAUUAAUUAUAUAUUUUCUUUUCUUACUUGUUGAUAGAAUAUGUAUUUGUUUAUAACCAUAUUGACGGUUAACUUUAGAACAAGGACCUAUUCAUGAUUUUUAUGCGUAUGUUUUGUUUAGGUUUUAAGUAUCGGAUGAUAGGAAACGUUCCAAGACCACUCAACCUGUAUUUAUAUUUCUCUGAAUACAAAAUAAAGGUUUAUCUAUCUAUUUAUUUAAACUUUCUUAUAAUAAAAAUAUAUAAUUUAAUGAGUAUGUGCCACGACGAUUUAUCAUUUAAAUUAUUGACUCAAUAUUGUUAAGACGCAAUAAGUGUUUUAAGAAAUUAAUAUAUAAUUUCAAAUGGAAUUCAAAUGCGCGCUUCUUAUAUAUCUCAAGUUUACUAAUUAAUUAACAGGUGGAGGCACCUGAGGCUGUUGAGGACAUAACACCUCCCCCGUUAAUGAAAAUUCGACAUAUCGUUCGUCGAAUUUUUCUCUCAUAUAUACACAUGUAUAUAACGAUAUAUAAUAAUAGCUAAAGCUAAUUCUGAAUGAAAUAUAAAUUCUGCAAGACAAUUACCUAUAUAAAUAAUACCAUUACUGGUUGUUAAAUCGUGGUCGCACAUUUACAUUACAAGUUACAAAAAUAAUCAUUUUCAUGAUUUAAAACUAACAGUAAAUAUUAACUCAGGUUACGCACAAUAUUUAUAUUACACAAGAAUACAUAUUUUUUAAGGGUGAGCAGCACUAACCGGAUGUUCGAAUUUAUUUUUCUAAUUACGUUUGGAAUAAUUACGUCACUUAAAUGAUGAAAACCUUCAAAAAAAAAAGUUUAUCUUAAACAUUUUUCGGAAGCUAUAAAAUUUUUGUAAUAAGAAUUGAUCAAUAAAUUCAAAGAAAAGUAAAAUUUAAAAACUCGUUUAGUACGGCCCAGCCUUAUCAUUGAGGUCACGGUGUUUACAUUUUAGCAAGAGUUUAAUCCAGACUAUGAAGUAUUAUACGGAUCAACAAGAUAUAUUAAUUUCAACUUGUUUGUAUGUACGACUUGGUAUGUGGUGGGGUGAAUUAGGCGAGGACGUCCUCUCUGGCAUCUCAUGCAUGGGGGACUCAAACCCCCACACGACAUCCGAGCUCGGUACAACAACUGCUGGGUGGUCCAACCACCCAAGGGACAGGGCUAAUAAACCCCUCUGAAGAGGGCUGCCACUCAUCCAACAACUCGUCUCCCUGGGAAGAGAGUACUGUCCUCAUUCGAGUCUCGCUUUCCGCCUCAACGUCAGGUCGGCGAGUCGUCGGGAAGGCAUCUCUAUCCUUCAGAUAUGUGCACAACGUGCCAAGGGUGGCCAUAAACUUGCUGUUUACGCCACUAUAUUUGGAGGGGGUUGUCCAACAACCCCAAGGAGUCGAUGCCAUAAUUUUUUUUUCACACUCUUUUUUUUUAUCUUAUUCUGUUUUUAUCCAUGCUAAUACUCAACCUACUAUUUCCUAUGAGUUUAUCCUCAAGAAGCGGUUUCCCAAGCUUUGUGUUCUAAAUCAAUAAUAUAUUAAGUAAUUUUAUGUCAAUGGGGUUUCGAGAGAGCGCAUCAACAUUAGCGUUCAAUCGACCUUCCCUAUAAUUGACUUCAUAUUCAUAUUUCCGUACUUCAGCAACCGAUGUAGGAGUUAAGAUAUAGGAAUUUUCAUUCUAUGAGCUCACACCAAUGAUUUAUGAUCUGUGACUUUCAGGAGUUCAGGGGCAGAGUAGUAGGAAGGUAUUUUCUAAUGUCUUCUGGCUGAGAAUUGCACCGAGGCAUAAAAAGAAGUGUUUGUUGUCGUGACGGAAAGUUUUGAAAGUGGGGGAACUGGAGAAUAAAUUAAUAUCAACUUAUAAUUAAUAUCAGAAUCUAUCGUGAAUUAAAAUUUCUCCAAAUUAAGUAGUUCAUCACUAUUAAUAGUUAUACACGGUGAGGUAAUAUGCUUGUUGUUGUGAGUUUUAUGGAAGCGUCAUUUUUGAAUAAGUUUUUGUUUCAUUUGGUCUUCUGUGUGGGCUGUAUUGUCAGUUUGUUGGUCGUUGUAUGCAUUGAAAUUUUGGUUUGAUGUUGUGUUAUUUUCUCUAACCCAAGUUAACCUAUUUUUGCAGAUUUGUGCGAAAUGGCCAGGCUUAGAACAUAUUGAACAAAUUACGUUCAUGGAGUUAUUUCCAUGAAUGUCCAUAAUGAUUGUUCGCAAAUUUAAUAUGAUUUUGGGAACUACUAAUGGAAUAUUGGCUGGAGUAAGGAUUAUUACUACAGUGGGAAUGUAUUUUAAAAAGUGAAUUUCUUUGUUUCAAUUCUUUUUCUAAUUCUACGGCAAGAUCUACUGCUCGCGACAGGGUAAGAGGUUUUUGACUAGCAGCCCACAAUCCUAACUCUCCCCUAAGACCCCGUACAAAGCUAUCUCGAGCUCCUUCUUGGGUACUAGCUAAUAACCCGGUUCGUAUUUCACCCGAAUGCUUAUCCAUAAUUACUUCUGACGUUCCUUGAACGAUUUCGUUGAUUCUAGUAACGUAAUCUACGAUGGUUUCACCAUCCUUUUAAUAAAUAUUCGAAAGUAACGACUGCCAUUGAGAUAGAGUUCUACUCGGCACUAAAGCUCUUUUAAGAUUUCCCAAAAUCCCUUCAAAUGCUAAUCCCGAUUGAUUUGAAAUAUAUUUGCUGGCUUUACCCAAUAUACGAGAUUUUAUCAACUGAGUUAAAUACAAUUUACCAGAUGGAUGUAUUAGAUUUAAGGUUUGAUUACAAAGUUCAAUAAAAUUAUUAACUGGCAUAUUUUCUCCAUUGAAUACGGGUAUAAGGUUUAUAGCGUCUUUGGUACUCAAAAAUUGGGAAUUACUUGUAUGAACUAGAUUAUUGGUAGCAUAAUUGUGCUCAUUAUUUCCGUAGCCCGCGAGUACCGGUUCAAUUAGUACGCGAUUCGAAUUAUGAACUGGAGUAGCUGGAAUGCUAGGGGUUAUAGAAGGAGAGAUGGUGGAAAAAUUGUCAUUAUUAGUGUUCUGAAUGUCAAUAGAACUAAUCACCACUUCAGUGUUCGCGUCCGAAAUGUGUUCGUCUGUAGUCACUAAAUUAGACAUUUUCGCCUCAAAUCAUGUUAAUGCUUCUAUAGUCUUGAUUCUAUUUGAUUACUAUAUUUAAUAUAUUAAGGAAAUACUAUAUCAAAUUACAGUUGAACUUUUAAUUAUAAUUAUUAAGAUUAUGGAAUUGUAAAUAAUACAAAAUAUUAUAAUGUGUACUUAUUUCGACUGGAACUUAUGUCUGAUAGCAAUUUAAAAGUGUUAAAUAUCAAAUAAUCGUCAAAUUUCAUACAUGAAUAGUUAUAGAAUUUCCUUUAAAACAAAAUGCCUUUAGUUUUGAUAUAAAAUAAUACUUCAUAGAAUGACUUACAGGUUGCAGAAUUAAUACAAAUAAAAUACCUUAAAAAAGAAAAUAAUCACUUUUCACUUUUCACUCGCGAAAUUGCCCUUAUUAAAAUCGCACUACAUAAUUUCACUUCACUAAUAUCUUCUGUCAGCAUGAAGUUUCCUCCUAGAUGACCCUUCGCAGUUGAAUUGACCCUCUGGAAUUGGAAGAUCGCCGAUAAACUUACUGGAACGCCGGAACAGAUGCAGAAUAAUACACUCGAUGAUGCUUUUGAAUUUCAAAACGCUGAUGGACCAAUCAGGAUUUUCCAGAACGCUGUUGAAUCUCCAGAUUUGCGUUGAACCCAAUUGGUGUGACUAUCCCACCGCUGUCACCAGUUGUUAUGUCCUGGGAGGUUACUAGGAUCGCAGCUGACGCCACCUCCUGGACAGUGGGCAGUUCGUUGUCACGCGGGACCAAAUUUUGAAUUUGAAAACAGUGGAUAAAUUUAUUGUUUACUACGAUGAUGAUGAUUAUGAUUGUUAUUUAAUGAAAUAAUUAAACUAUGAUUAAGGAUAGAUGUAAUUGAUAAAAUAACUUUUAUCUGAAGACUGAAUUUUAUUAUAAAGUAUGAAUAAAACUUGAUCAGUAAUAACAGUUGUAUUCGUAAAGAGUUCUCGGAGAGAAGUCAAGUUACAUCAGACGGCAGAGAGAUCUCGGACCUUCACUCUCCAACUUCUCCCCACUACUCUCAUGUUCACACUCAUGCUUAUAUGUAUAUAUUCUUAUAUAUCUAUGUUCUUUACUAAAUAUUAUACUUAUACAUUUAUACUUUCUACUAAUUCAAAUUUGGGAUAUAAGCUUACACAUAUACGUUCUUCACUUUAUCCAUUCUACAACUUCUUAUUACUUAUUCUAUUUAUAUGUACUUAGAUACAAUCUUCCAGUUAAAUAUUCUAGGCUAUCAGAGGUGUAUUUCUCCAUAAUUAUUCUAUAUUUAAUUAUUUAGUACGAUUGACAUUACUAUUUAUUGUGAAACAUUAUUAUAAUCAAUAUAAUGCUAUAUUUCUAUAUUUUCUUUAAUUUAUUUAUUAUACGCGUCACUCUUUAUUUAAUAUUAACAGUAAUAGUUAAAUUCUGGUGAGACAUGGUUUUCAUUAGUAAGUAACAUUUAUUAAUUAUAUAUUUUCUUUUCUUACUUGUUGAUAGAAUAUGUAUUUGUUUAUAACCAUAUUGACGGUUAACUUUAGAACAAGGACCUAUUCAUGAUUUUUAUGCGUAUGUUUUGUUUAGGUUUUAAGUAUCGGAUGAUAGGAAACGUUCCAAGACCACUCAACCUGUAUUUAUAUUUCUCUGAAUACAAAAUAAAGGUUUAUCUAUCUAUUUAUUUAAACUUUCUUAUAAUAAAAAUAUAUAAUUUAAUGAGUAUGUGCCACGACGAUUUAUCAUUUAAAUUAUUGACUCAAUAUUGUUAAGACGCAAUAAGUGUUUUAAGAAAUUAAUAUAUAAUUUCAAAUGGAAUUCAAAUGCGCGCUUCUUAUAUAUCUCAAGUUUACUAAUUAAUUAACAGGUGGAGGCACCUGAGGCUGUUGAGGACAUAACAUAGCCACCUUGAUUGGAAGUUCCACGAAGGCUAGAUAGAAGGAGGACGCUCGCUGUAGUAUUGUCACGGCCUGAAAAUUGGAUACAGACAUCAGAGCGCGCUACUGUUGCAAAGGUCCCCAUAGAUUUAAAAUUCAAAUAAAAUCUGUAAUGAUCGAUAUUUAAAAACCAAAUUUAA
This is a long non-coding RNA of Microplitis demolitor, 5845 nucleotides long. RefSeq lists it as uncharacterized. The transcript is spliced from 3 exons. Lineage: Eukaryota; Metazoa; Arthropoda; Insecta; Hymenoptera; Braconidae. The record is from RefSeq and is a predicted model, not a curated record.